GCUUUCCUACUGUUUCCCUG
This 20-nucleotide microRNA is filed under the name Mus musculus (house mouse). Its description in RNAcentral is "mmu-miR-6384". The record is from miRBase by way of RNAcentral. Lineage: Eukaryota; Metazoa; Chordata; Mammalia; Rodentia; Muridae.